Molecule: long non-coding RNA, 536 nt
Organism: Copidosoma floridanum
Lineage: Eukaryota; Metazoa; Arthropoda; Insecta; Hymenoptera; Encyrtidae
Source: RefSeq, a predicted model, not a curated record
AUAUAGACAAGUUCUCCUCGUUCACCGAGGACCUGGAGCUCGCCCGCUUCUAGCGCAUCUAGCGGCACUGUCAAGCUUGCACACCGGGACAUACAUCGUGUUUUGUUUUAUUGUAGCCUAAGCCCUCCCCCAGCCCCCCUGGACGUUAUCUCUCGUCGUUUCUACCCCAACCUCUCCUCCUCUCCUCGGAUAUCUGAUGGCCUAUCCCAUCGGCCGCCCGUCUCCUCCUCUGCGAAGCAUCGCCCUUUUUCCUUUUCCUCCUCGGACUCUCAUGGACUAUACUUCGACGAAACAGACGCGCUGCUUCAUUUCUACCGUACCGAAGAAAGGGACGACGUCGUUGGAUGAAACAGCUGCCUCGACGGCCACCUGUAUCUACACAUUCUUCUUCUUCUGCGCUCUGGAUGCUGCUGCAGCCUCUUUUUGUCGGUAGUGCGGUGGAGGCGGAUAACAACACCGAGCUUUUUCGGAAAAAGGGCGGAGGAGGCCGGCCGUCGAAAAUAAACUCUUGGCAGCUCGGAGCCGACUGUAGGAGG